UACGUAGGGUGCAGGCGUUAAUCGGAAUUACUGGGCGUAAGGCGUGCGCAGGCGGUUUCUUAAGUCAGAUGUGAAAGCCCCGGGCUUAACCUGGGAACUGCGUUUGAAACUGGGAGACUAGAGUGUGGCAGAGGGGGGUGGAAUUCCACGUGUAGCAGUGAAAUGCGUAGAUAUGUGGAGGAACACCGAUGGCGAAGGCAGCCCCCUGGGUUAAUACUGACGCUCAUGCACGAAAGCGUGGGGAGCAAACAGG
RNAcentral lists this ribosomal RNA (253 nucleotides) under uncultured bacterium. RNAcentral's name for it is "partial 16S ribosomal RNA". It matches the Rfam family "Bacterial small subunit ribosomal RNA", at positions 524 to 776 of the family's 1533-position model. The record is from RNAcentral.